Molecule: ribosomal RNA, 255 nt
Filed under: uncultured bacterium
Lineage: Bacteria
Description: partial 16S ribosomal RNA
Rfam family: Bacterial small subunit ribosomal RNA
Source: RNAcentral
UGGCGGACGGGUGAGUAAUGUCUGGGAAACUGCCCGGUGGAGGGGGAUAACUACUGGAAACGGUAGCUAAUACCGCAUAACGUCGCAAGACCAAAGAGGGGGACCUCCGGGCCUCUUGCCACCGGAUGUGCCCAGAUGGGAUUAGCUUGUUGGUGAGGUAACGGCUCACCAAGGCGACGAUCCCUAGCUGGUCUGAGAGGAUGACCAGCCACACUGGAACUGAGACACGGUCCAGACUCCUACGGAAGGCAGCAG